RNAcentral lists this ribosomal RNA (800 nucleotides) under Acinetobacter baumannii. RNAcentral describes it as "bacterial SSU rRNA". It matches the Rfam family "Bacterial small subunit ribosomal RNA", at positions 527 to 1327 of the family's 1533-position model. Lineage: Bacteria; Pseudomonadati; Pseudomonadota; Gammaproteobacteria; Moraxellales; Moraxellaceae. The record is from RNAcentral.
AGAGGGUGCGAGCGUUAAUCGGAUUUACUGGGCGUAAAGCGUGCGUAGGCGGCUUAUUAAGUCGGAUGUGAAAUCCCCGAGCUUAACUUGGGAAUUGCAUUCGAUACUGGUGAGCUAGAGUAUGGGAGAGGAUGGUAGAAUUCCAGGUGUAGCGGUGAAAUGCGUAGAGAUCUGGAGGAAUACCGAUGGCGAAGGCAGCCAUCUGGCCUAAUACUGACGCUGAGGUACGAAAGCAUGGGGAGCAAACAGGAUUAGAUACCCUGGUAGUCCAUGCCGUAAACGAUGUCUACUAGCCGUUGGGGCCUUUGAGGCUUUAGUGGCGCAGCUAACGCGAUAAGUAGACCGCCUGGGGAGUACGGUCGCAAGACUAAAACUCAAAUGAAUUGACGGGGGCCCGCACAAGCGGUGGAGCAUGUGGUUUAAUUCGAUGCAACGCGAAGAACCUUACCUGGCCUUGACAUACUAGAAACUUUCCAGAGAUGGAUUGGUGCCUUCGGGAAUCUAGAUACAGGUGCUGCAUGGCUGUCGUCAGCUCGUGUCGUGAGAUGUUGGGUUAAGUCCCGCAACGAGCGCAACCCUUUUCCUUACUUGCCAGCAUUUCGGAUGGGAACUUUAAGGAUACUGCCAGUGACAAACUGGAGGAAGGCGGGGACGACGUCAAGUCAUCAUGGCCCUUACGGCCAGGGCUACACACGUGCUACAAUGGUCGGUACAAAGGGUUGCUACACAGCGAUGUGAUGCUAAUCUCAAAAAGCCGAUCGUAGUCCGGAUUGGAGUCUGCAACUCGACUCCAUGAAGUC